UGGAGGCCUUUGCUCCUGCUUGAAUACCCCCACAAGGAGGCAAAAUUGAUUUUGCCUAAGGAUCUGGCGUUGGGCACAAAUGCACAAACGAAAUACAAACCAGGGAACAGAAAGUAGCAGGAACCUGCGGAAGCUACUGUCAUUCUGCAUUUAGAAACUUUGGUCAACGUUUCAACAGCAGAACAAGAUUCGACAGCCGCAGCGUGUCUGGACCAGGGGGCCGGGACAAUGGAUGGUCCAGAAUUGAAUCUUUACUCCCCUCCUACAGG
This is a long non-coding RNA of Labeo rohita (rohu), 269 nucleotides long. RefSeq lists it as uncharacterized. The transcript has 3 exons. NCBI's taxonomy places the organism in Eukaryota, Metazoa, Chordata, Actinopteri, Cypriniformes, Cyprinidae. The record is from RefSeq and is a predicted model, not a curated record.